GACAGAGGUGCCAAGCGUUAGGCAGAAUCACUGGGCUUAAAGCGUGUGUAGGCGGAUCGUUAAGUACCUUGUGAAAUCCCACGGCUCAACCGUGGAACUGCUGGGUAUACUGGCGGUCUUGAGCCACCUAGGGGCGAGCGGAACAAACGGUGGAGCGGUGAAAUGCGUAGAUAUCGUUUGGAACGCCAACGGUGAAAACAGCUCGCUGGGGGUGUGCUGACGCUGAGACACGAAAGCCAGGGGAGCGAACGGG
RNAcentral lists this ribosomal RNA (253 nucleotides) under uncultured bacterium. RNAcentral's name for it is "partial 16S ribosomal RNA". It matches the Rfam family "Bacterial small subunit ribosomal RNA", at positions 524 to 776 of the family's 1533-position model. The record is from RNAcentral.